Long non-coding RNA from Acanthopagrus latus (yellowfin seabream), 1909 nucleotides. RefSeq lists it as uncharacterized. The transcript is spliced from 4 exons. The record is from RefSeq and is a predicted model, not a curated record. NCBI's taxonomy places the organism in Eukaryota, Metazoa, Chordata, Actinopteri, Spariformes, Sparidae.
GGUCCACUCUGUCACUCAAACGGAUCAAGCAGCGCGAGUCCCUGGAGCAGUUUGGUGUCGCAGGCUGGCUAAAGAAGUGAUAAACGUCUCCAAAUGCUUCAUCCGCAUUAUUAUCAUCACAGUCUGCAGCAGAGACUCAUUUUGGGCCUUUUUCCUGAGCUGCAGUCGGCACACCAGGCCUUCUUCUCCUCAGCUGAGACUCUCUGAGAAUCCCUGGCAGCUCAUAUAUCAAGGGAGAUCCUCACAGCAGCACUCCUCUUCCUUUUUCAAUGCACAGGGCAUCCACAAAGUGCACUGGACCAACGAUCAGAAGCUUCAGAGUUGAUGGGUCUUGGUUGUAGCAGCAGGCUGAAUCGUCAGCAACCGCGACCCUGACAGCUGCACAGGUACCUCACUGACGGAACAAAAAGACAAGUCUCUGACUGGAGAGAUGAGAAACGGGUGAGACAGCUGGCAGAAAAAACAAGUAGAGCACAGAAACAGUUUAAAGAAGUCUUUACACAUGUACUUUUAAAUCAUACAAAAUACUGUAAAUACGAUGUUUGUGCAGAUUUUGAGCAAAAAAAUAUGUCAAAGUUGGAAACAAACGCUAAGAUGAUGUAGUGGAAGGGGAAUUGUGAUUGUUGUAUUAAUGGUAAUCGUGAGUAAGUAAGUAAUUUUCUGGAAGUAAACAAGAAGUGGAUCCAAUAUUCAGCAUUUCUUUAAAAAAACAGAAUCAGAGUUUAUUUGUCAAUCUUAUUGCAGAUAAAAUAGAUUACAGUACAAAUAUGGAUCAUAUGACUAGUAUAUCAUUCUUUAGUUUAGAUACAUGUGGUCCAUUACUCCAUUACUCAAGCCCGAGCUUGUCCCAGCACAGUAAAAAUUGUGUAUAGACUAUGACAACCAAGAAUUCCUUUAUUUAUAUAUUCAAUUAAGAAAAUCCUACAACAUGCAUAACAGAAUUCAUUCUAUGUGUAACAUGAAGAAACUCACCUGAAUAAUAAGAAAUUAUUCAAUUUAAAAAUAAAGACUAAAACAACCUUGACUCCCAUACUUUCAAAGCGUUACGAACAUACAGAGCUUUAUUAAAUUGCCUGCCAUACAUUAAUUUGGCCUCUUAACAGCUGCAGUAUGUGAAAUAUCCAUGCUGAAAAACACAACUGGGAGCAAGUCCACAUGGAAAAUUAGCAACAUACAAUUAGAGAAAGAAAAUCUUCAUAUCUGGUUUCUAACCUUUAUAAGAUGAGGUAGGGUGAAUUGAAAAGGAGAAAUAAUUAAUUUAGCCCGGUGAAGAGCAAGAGAAUCCUCCCUUUGCCUAACAAGCAGCUCGCAUCCUCAGGGCAAUUAGUCACUGUCAUAUGAGGGCAAAUGUAGAACCCUUUGCAUGCUUGUUAAGUAAAAACUUACACAGGGGUCACUGACAUGUAAGAGAAAUGCAUGUAGCCAGUGAGCUGGAGAAGAUUUCAGAGUAAAAUAAGGCAGAUAAAACUCCACUGUUAGGAUAAAUCUGUUUCUGUGCGAUUUUUAACAUAAUUUAACUUUGUCUCAUUAACCAGGUUUGGCGCUUUGACUGAUGUUGAUCACCUUUUAUUCAAAUAUGAAACAAAAUGUAAUGCUGCGGACUAAAACACACAAGCCUCCAGAUGUAAACAAUAUGACAAAAUGUAUGUUUUCUUUUAUCACUUUCUGCUCGCACAGUAAUACAUGUUCACCUAAAUAAGGAUUAAUUCCCAAGCCCUCUGACACAUUGUAGAAUCUGGACACUGUUGCUGUCAAAUCAUUGUGUUUCCUUCAGUGCUGGUGUGAGAUUUUACAGAUUUUCACCCAACCAUCCAUGUCCAUCGUGUGCCAGAUCAUACUUCCAUCUAGACAAUUUAGCCCAAUGCGUCACACCAAACAAACCCUCCAUGUAGAGCAAACUCAAGAAUAA